AAUACAUAUCUAAAAUUGCAUUGCAGCUAAUAAAAGUAAUAAGAACUUGCACCUCUUUCUUUUUCAAUAACCAUUUUCGAUAAGAACUUGUCUCCCACAUUAUCAGGUUUACUCUCUUUCACCUUAUCUCUGUCUUUUGUUGAUUACUGGGUUUUUAAGGUUUCCUUAUAAAUUGUAAUUUUAAGAAAAAUGAUCAAUUUUUGAAUCACAUUUAUUUUAUAUUUAUGAUUGUAAAUACGAACAAAAUUGUUUAAAUAAACUCAGAUUUCUGCUAUAGAAAAAUCAGUGAUAGCAUUCUUGCAGGAAACUCAUGCUUGUCUCAGUAAUAAUAUUCAUUUUGUGUACAAAUUUUAAAUUUAGUAUUUAGAUUAAAGGAAAUUGAAUGUUUUAGGUUUUCACUUGGGGCAUAAUGUGGAGAUUAUGCCAAAUUUUAAACGGCUUAAAAAAACAGAUCCUUGUGUAGUGUUUUUAUAGGUCUUGUGAAUUCGGUCAUGAAUUUUUAUUAAUUAUAACAGUGAUCAUUAAAAAUGGUCCUAUUGUACUGAACUUCUUUGCAUUUGUUAGGAAAUCUACUUAAAAGAUUGAAAAUUAUCUAUUUUUCAUCAUGAAAUUCAUUCUUAUCCAUGACCAAUUGGAAUUGUAGUAGUAAGUGGUGAUGGAAGAUUGUGAAGAAAACACACAAUUGAAGAUGAGAUUUGCAUUGCGUGGACAAUUUUGAUGAAAAUUUAGAUUUGAACUCAUUUCCAUUACCGCCUCUAAUACCACUAACCAAACUCCCUGUUAGUACUUUAUGGUAGUCAUGCUUAGAGGUGUUCAUUUGUGUCAUCGGGUCAGGUGUUUUGGGUCGGUUCAAUAUCGGGUCUUGUGUCCACAUUAAUUUUUAGAUUUUUUACUGAAGUCGGUUCAAGUCGGGUUUGGUUAUAAGGUCGGGUAAAUAUCGGGUCGUCAGGUCUAUUUUGAACACCUCAUGCUGCCAUUAUGUUUCAAAAAUGUUACAUAGUGAUAGUAUGUUGUUGCUUUGUUGCUCUUUCUGAUAAUGCUCCAUUCGUACCAAUGAGGCAAUGACCCUGCUUCAUAUAAUAGUUUUCUUAUGUCUCCUUCUCCCAUCUCUUAUGAAUAAUGCUACCUACAAACAUGUCAAUCUUUUCUUCAUAGACUUUGGUUACCUUAAUCUAAGUGACUAGUAGUGCUGAUAUUGGUUUCUCUUCCUUAUACAACUAAAUGACCACUAACCUAGGCUAGUUUUUGGCUUCUGAACUUUGACCCAUGGAGUGGCAGUCUUGUCUGGGAUAAUGGUUGUAGGGGCUUAUAUUUGCAACUCAAUACUUGUUUAGAAAGGAGAAGAAUAAUGAAUUUUGUUUUUUUCCGUCCUUUCUUUUUUGUUUCAGGUUGGUUAUAGAUCAAAGUUGAAAUUUUGAAGUUGAUCGUCAGAAAAUGCUAGUUUCUUAAAAUAAAAGAAGGUUUAUUUUAAUCUUUAGGUAUUUAAUUAAACAACUUUGUUUGCCUACAUAUCCUAUGUUGCUUAUUUUAUGUAGCUGCAUCAAUCUUUUGAUGUAAAUUACUGAAGGGAUUGCUUUGCAUAUAGUUCUAUCUACUUUGCAUGUGAGGUAUUGUACUUUGUGCAAGAUCAAAACACAUUUUAUUUGAUAUUGAAUGUUUAAAGUAUUACAAAUGCAAAGUAUUGAUAGACAAGGUUGUUUAAGUUUUGAAAUUAUACUCAACCUAGAAGUGGUACCUAUUUUCAUACGGUUGUCAUUCUCAUCAUAUAUUUAUUAACAGUUUAUCUCCAUUUUUCCCUUUCUUUCUGUUUCUUCUACUUGCAAUGUGUGCGUGUGCAAAAUGAUAAAAUGAUUUAGUGCUCAACAUUCUAGCCACAGUUCAAGAUCAGAGAUUAUAAGGAGUGACUAACAAAGCACAUAAUUUAUGGAAACAUGAAAUUAAGAUGGUAACUUGAAUAAGUUGCCAUUUGGAUUCACCAUGACACUGAGUUGCAUAUAGUGGCAACAAAGUAUGGGAAAUGGGAAGCUAAUAUGCGUCCGUUGCUGUAAAUGGAUGACUGAAAGCCAUAUCAUAAAAAAAUUUGUUAAGAGAACUUAUUCUAACACAAUGGCCGCUCUGCAGCUCCUCUACUUUCUAUUUGUCAAAUAGUCAAAGUCUUCACAGAUGCAGACUGAGAUCAAAGUGGUUGACAUCACCAUUCUGGUCUUUAUCAAGAUCUAUUAUUACUGGUAUGGGACGGUCAAGUUGAUCUAUCAGAGGCAUUAAUGAUGCUUCACUAGUUGCUUCUGGCCUUUGUGAUGCAAUAUGUUGUGCUGCUUGAAUCAGUUGCGUUUGGAUAGGAGGUCUCCAUGCCUCAAAACCUUGUAUGCUUCUCUGCAUCAGAAGGCGACUGUUUCUUCCUCUAGUUGGCUGAGGUGGUGACGGAAGUAAUUGACGAAAGGGAUUGAAGAGCAGAUUCCUUUCUCUUAGUUGCCGAGUAUGCUCUGUUGGUCGUUGGCUAUUGUUGUUUAUUGCUGCUUCUAACAUAUGACUGUUAACAUGAUGCCUAAUUCCCUCAACAUCAACUGAGGUGAAACGACAUUGUCGGCAAAAGAAUUGGGCUAUAUAUACUUGUCUUUGCUGUGUGGGCUGACCAUUGCGAGGCAUGCUUAGCCUAGUAAGAAGAGGAAGAAAGAAGGUCAUCUAUGUAACUGUUGUCGGGGGACCUUUUAGGACGUUUUCUACGUGUUGGAAGGAGUUGCAAGUGGGUGACGAGAACAAUUUCUGUCACGAUGUGAAGUUUUGUGCAGAUCUUGCAUUAAUAUGUAUGGAAAAAGUAGGAAAGAUGACCGCUGCAUUAGGAGCCAUGAUGACAAAUCAAUUACUCAGGUGAAACGGCUGAAGCAGUGCGUUGACCUAUUGGAUCGCUUUAGCUGUUGUGGCGGCAGGUAUGUUAAGAAAAGGCAGGCUGACUCGUGAGCAUGAUCUGUACUCCUUAAGACCAUAGGCAUGAAGUAAGAUCAUUCAUAAUUCGUAUUGGUUGGAACAGCUGCACAACACAUUGUAACACUAGCAAGACGUUGCAUUUGUGACACCAUAUUGCAAAUAUAAGGCUGCAUCGUAUUGUGUUGAUCGAGUUGUAAAGGUUUUUAAAUCAAAUUAAAGAUGUUCUCAUUCUGUUUUGCUUUCAUUUAAUUUAUCUGCUCUUUACUUGUUUCUGGAUAAAUUAUUUCACCUGUCUUGGACUAGUGUAUAAAAAUUCAUUUAACAUACAAUAGACGCAAUAACAUGUUACAGCUAAAACAUACAAUCUUCGGACCAAUGUGGUCUAACAUCAAUGAGACAUUAAAUCCUGACUGCUAACUGUGUUCUACAAGAAAUAAAAGACUGAAAGAUGAAAUGAUGAAAUAAUAAAUAGCCUCUUUUUCAAAGUUUGAAUGUCAGAUUCACUUUGCACCAUUCAGGGGUUUGAUGUCCCUUCUCCAAGUCAAUCACCUUUGGUAUUGGCUUCUCCAACUGACCAAGGUACCAAACUGUUCUCUUAUCCGCUGACUCAUCAUAUCCUUUCUGCUCUUGAAUUUUUGGAAUUGCCACUCCCUGUGGUCGUGGUUCUCUCUUUGUGGGUGAUGAUCGUCGGCGAAGGACAAAUGGACUGCUACCUGCACUAACUCUUCCUGACACCGAGUUUGGACAUGUCAUGUAGAAAGCACACCUGGUAUUGGAAGAGGAACUCAUACAGAAUUGGUGACUCCGAUUCCCUUGAGGCAGCUAUGUAAGAAUCUAUAAGAAUACAAAUGCUUGUACGGAUGGAAGAGGAACUUUCUGGCGUAAUAUUUGCAGACUUGGUCAAAAUAGUCGAUCACACAUUGUUGGUAUUAGCCUAGGAAGGUGAAACAUUCUAACAGCUGAGGCUUCAUCUGAAUCUUCGAUACUGUGGCGAGAGUUGUGACAAUUGAUAAAACAGCCCAGGAAGAUGAAGAGAAGAUAAGGAAUCUCUCGGCGCUGCAGAAGUCAAGGAGGCUCUGCUUGAGAAAGUGGCUCAAAAGCUAGUCGCUCAAAACGCUUAAGGGCCAGGAGGACCUUUUACGUGAUGAGAGGCCUAGAAGAUUCUCUAGCCGAGGUGGGUUCUGAUCUAGGCAAUCUGGAGCCACGAGAGACCGUCUUAGCGUACACUGUUCAAGGUGGAAGCUCAAAGAGAUCACAUUCAAAAGCAUCUUGAGCAAAAUUCCCACAUACUUUGGACUCCCUAAAAUUGUGCUUAUGUUUAUUGCUAUAUGACCGGGAGGAGGGAGAAGAUUUCAAGAGGAGUUUACCGAUGACUUCCCGGGAGCUUUGAUGAAUUUCUUUCAGGAUGUACUCACCAUCUUUUGUACACACUUUAGCAGGGAUUCUGUAUAAGACUUUUUGUACAGAUUGUCCUCAUUGUAUUCAAACCAUAAGUUCUUUUUAGAACUGAAUUUGAGCUGGGUAUUGGUGUAAUACCAUCUCAGAGAAAUUUGAUAUAAAGAUCCAUCUAUGUUCCUUGAUCCAUCAAUAGCUGACACAAAUGUGUUAAUGCUUGGGUGGGGAGUAUUUUCAUAUGUUUAUUGACUCGAAGUAUUCAGCUGAACUUUCUUUGUCUAAGACGUCUGCGUGUGUAUUCUCUGACCUCAGAUUAUGAGUUAUAGUGAAUUUGUCCAA
Molecule: long non-coding RNA, 4659 nt
Organism: Amaranthus tricolor (Joseph's coat)
Lineage: Eukaryota; Viridiplantae; Streptophyta; Magnoliopsida; Caryophyllales; Amaranthaceae
Exons: 6
Source: RefSeq, a predicted model, not a curated record